RNAcentral lists this ribosomal RNA (213 nucleotides) under uncultured bacterium. RNAcentral describes it as "partial 16S ribosomal RNA". It matches the Rfam family "Bacterial small subunit ribosomal RNA", at positions 1289 to 1500 of the family's 1533-position model. The record is from RNAcentral.
CAGUUCGGACUGCGGCCUGNAACCCGGCCGCNCGAAGCUGGAAUCGCUAGUAAUCGCGGAUCAGAAUGCCGCGGUGAAUACGUUCCCGGGUCUUGUACACACCGCCCGUCACACCAUGGGAGUCAGCAACGCCCGAAGUCAGUGACCCAACCUAAUAGGAGGGAGCUGCCGAAGGCGGGGCAGGUAACUGGGGUGAAGUCGUAACAAGGUAAC